AAUUUGUCCUUUCCCCAUUGAGUUCAUCUCUAAAGCCAAUGGUUCAUUCCCUAAUGGUGUGUUAAAAGUAGACUGCAAAAAUAUAUGGUCAAGGGUUGCUUUUUGGCCAUUAAUGGUCCUUCUUUCCAAUCCACGUUGGAGCUCCCGGUUACGGAGGACCUUGUAAGACCAUUUCCAUUUAGACAUGUCCCAUGUUCCAGAGUUAACUCCCUGCAGUGUCACUGGACCAAGAACCCCAGUAUUCCAAGUCUCAUAAUGCACGCCAACGUUCUGUGACAAUAAAGACCACAAAGCUCAGAACACGAUCAGUAGUAUAUAGGCAAAAAGCGUAGAGAGAGCUAGUUAGUUUAUUGAGAGAACUAACCGGCAGCCCCGCUGCAGUACUCAACAGAGCAAGUUUGUUGACUCCUGCAUGUAAUUUGAUCUUCUGACUAAAUGUUAGCUUUGGUUGCUUCAGUGAUCCAUAAGCAGUUCCUGAAACGAAGAAAGGAUUUUUAGCAAAAGACAAGCUUAGC
Molecule: long non-coding RNA, 515 nt
Organism: Camelina sativa (false flax)
Lineage: Eukaryota; Viridiplantae; Streptophyta; Magnoliopsida; Brassicales; Brassicaceae
Source: RefSeq, a predicted model, not a curated record